Populus nigra (black poplar) is the source of this 671-nucleotide long non-coding RNA. RefSeq lists it as uncharacterized. Lineage: Eukaryota; Viridiplantae; Streptophyta; Magnoliopsida; Malpighiales; Salicaceae. The transcript is spliced from 2 exons. The record is from RefSeq and is a predicted model, not a curated record.
UUCCAGAAUGGUCCCUGGAGUAUAAUGAGAUGAUCUGGACAGAAAUGAGGAUGAAUUAUGGACAUAAUUUCAGUAUAUUCAUGGAUUUAUGAUAAAUUUUAGUUUGGUCCUCCAAUUUGACAAAAGUUGCAAUUUAACCCUUAAGAAUAUGAUAAAUUACAGAUUAGUCCCUAGCUGUAAUAUUAUUUUUUUCAGAUUAUUUUGAUGAAUAAUUGAGGGUUAUUUAGUGAAUUAUUACCAAUUUUAUUAAUUGUUUUAUUAUGGAUUAGAUUUCGGGAAAACCGUUAAAUGUUGGGUUUUUAGGAAAGAUAACUAGUUAGUUCAAAAAUAUAUAGGGUUAUGGAAUACACCCUUAGAUAAGUGUAUUAAAUAGGUUAUAUAUAUUCUUUUGAGUCAUUCUUAAAUAUGUCUCCUUUAUAUUCAGAUAAUCCUGAUAUUCUACCGGCGGGACGUCAGUAGGAUUUUCUUCGAUAUCAGCUUUGAGUUUUGUUGCUUUUGAGUCAGGCUUAUAGCUUGAUAGCAGGUCAUUUUGUUGGACCUUCAGAACCUGCUCUUUUGGUAGUAAUUUGUACCUUUCCUUUAUGUCUAGUUAGUGCUCCAAAACUCUGAACUUUUAUAAACUUUUGUAUUAAGACAAUUCAAUUAUAUUAUGAAGUUGAUUUUGUUAUUAA